AAAAAUCAUUAUAAACAAGGAUGAAACACUUCAAAUGAUGCUUUUCAUUGUGGACGGACGCGUAAUCAUUGAAAAGACAGAUGGUUCUCAGUUGGAACAUCUAGGCCCAGGAGAUUUUUAUGGAGAGGAACUUCUAGUUUCCCCAUUGUGGACCUCCUCUAGUGAUGCAAAACCCAUAAACCAGUCUGUUCAGGCCAUUGAUGAUGUUCAAGCCCUUGUUCUCUUUGUCACAGACAUGGCGACCUUGAGCUUUAGUUCCAGGCGGUAUAUCAACGAGUUGCGCAUGGUGGUAACUAUUCUUCAGAAAGUAAGCUCCUCUCUAUUUAGAAGAUAUAUAAAAGAUGAAUAACUGGAUUCGCACCUUCCAUCCUAACUAGCUACUAAUAUACAAUGAUGUUACUUAUUUAAUUUAUAUAAUGUUCUCUUUAUGUUUGAGAAAUUAAUAAUGUGUCAAAUCCUAGGUGCCAAAACUUCAAACUAUGGAUAAACAAGUAUUGAAAGCAAUGUCUCAUCAUCUUUCUCCGGUUAGCUAUAAACGCGACGACUAUAUUGUUCGAGAGAACCAACCAGUUAGUAGGAUGUUCUUCGUCACGAGGGGAGAGGUAACAAAAAAUGAGAACCCUCUGGAAGCAAAUUUUAUUGGAGAAGAACUUCUUGAGUGGGUAUUGGAUAAGUCUUUUCCUACCAUAUUACCCUUGUCGACCUGCACUGUUAGAGUAGUCUCAAAUGAUGCCGAAGUCCUCAUUUUGAAGGCCAGGAUGUUGAAGAAUGUAGUCUCUAAGUUCAUGAAGCAUUUCAGCAAUUUCUCCUCUCUCUCAGAUAUCCGGUUAACUUGGCUAAAGAAAGUAAGUUGCUCCAUCUGCAGUACUAACUUUUAACCAAUUUGCUUUAUAUUUUUCUUAACUGACAAUGUCACAUCUAUCUAAUUUUAGGUGGAAAUCUUUCAACAAAUGGAUGAACAAGUGUUGGAAGCAAUAUGCAAGUGCCUUAAGCACAUGAACUUCAAUGUUGCCAAACGCCAUAUUCUUCAAGAGAAAAAACCACUUAAAAUGAUGUUCUUCGUCAUCCGAGGAGUUGUAUUAAUUGAAAGCGAUAGUGCUUUGGAAGUGAACGUUAAAAACACCUGUGAAAUAGGAAGUUUCUAUGGAGAAGAACUUGUACAUUGGGUUACAACUUGGGUACACAAGUCCUUUCCUGCCAAACUACCUUUAUCACCUGGUUCUGCGCUAUGUAGUGUGCGUGGUGGUCCUGUCGAAAUACUUGCUCUCAAAGCCGACGACUUGAAGAGUGUAGUCUAUGAAUUGAGGUCGAAAUUCAUCACGGAAACCACCCUGCCUACAGAUUCUGAUCAGCCUCGAGAACUGACCAUCCUAAAGAAUGUAAGUUCCUCUGGAUGAAGAGAACCUGACCUAUAUAUAUAUAUUAUAUCCUAUAUAUUUUAAUCAUUAUUCUAAUUUCUCCUUUGCCUUAAAUAAAUAUGGUCUCCAAUAAUAUCCUAGGUGGAAAUCCUUAAGACUAUGAAUGAGGAAGUGUUGAAAGAAGUAUGCAAGCAUCUUACUGAAAAAACGUAUAAAGAUGAGUACAUUAUUAUGAAGGAUAAACAAAUGGAAAUGAUGUUCUUCAUCGUCAGCGGAGUUGUGUCAGUAACAAACGAGAGCUCGAAACAUUACCUUAGAGAAGGAGAAUGUCCAAAUCACAGUGGAGAUGAGCUUAUACAACGUUGGGUGCGAUCUAAAUCUACCAGCGUUUCUGCCGAAUUGCCCACCUCUCCUUCUAGUUUUUGGGCCAUCGGUGAAGUUGAAGUUCUGAUUCUUAAGGCCGAAGACUUGGCAAGUGUUCAGCUUGGUGAUCGAAUUGGUUAGUAUUAUCAUGUAUGUGCAACUAAUUAAUUAAUUUUGUCGUGAGUUGUGCAUAUAAUAACGGCAUGUGUGUAGUAAUAAGAUGUUAUCUUCCCACCGCGGCUACAUGCCUGCUUAUAUACAUACGUGCUUUCGUUGUCUGAUUUCUAGUAUUUGAUGAUCUUGGCAGGCUCUUGAGGAAAUGGCAAGGAAGAGUGAUGGUACGAUUACUUGUCCAAGGACAGGUUUGGUUUGCAAUUAAACAAAUCUGGUGAAGGCAUGUGUGUGUAUUUAUGUAUGCAACCCCGCCUUAGUUGUGACCUUUGUUGGAAAAGAUAAGGAGGUGGGGUAAUUGGUUGUACAUUAUUGUGUGGAGGUGCCAAGGUAAGCACUCUUUUUUUUCAAAUACCAAAUUUUCCUCUUCUGGGGAUUGUUUAUUAGAAAAGAAUUAUUAUUUUUUAUUUUUGGUCGAAAAUCAUAUCAUUAAAAGAAGCCCUGGAAAAGGAACAAAAGCUGGUAUCAAAUUACUUAUUAGGGAGGAAGACCAGAACUUUAGAAGCUAACUUCAACAUUUUUUUGUUUAAUUAUCCAAGGCUUAGGCUUGAAUUCAAUAUGUUUUUCAUGAAACUUGCCAAAAUUGAAAUUCUCAUUACAUCACUAGCUAGCUAGCAACAAGACAAUGAAUUAUAUGUCGGCCAUCAUCAUACAAUACGAGUUCGGCGUUAAUUUCGAUUUGAUUUUGCAUCCCACUAGAACUAUAGUAGAACCAAACAAUUCAUCAUGUUCACGUCUGACAUGAAGAAGUUGAGCGUUUGAAGAUGACCCGAGAAAGUGGUCCCCGCGGUCUCUUUGGGAGGUGGAGAUGGAAAGAAAUUCAACUUAGCCAGUCCCUUAGCAGCUGAAUAAUCCCAUGCCAUAACCUCGAGCUUAAUGGCCACUUCUCUCAUGGAGGGCCUUUCAUCCUGCAACCCUAGACAGCUUUUUAAGAGAUCAACCACUUCUUGGCUAUCUCCAAAUUUUCCUCCGUGAUUAUUUUAUCAUCAAGAAUUUGAUCCAAGCGACCCAGCAAAUAUAUAUAUAUAUAUAUAUAUAUAUAUAUUUAGUCCAUGGUAAAGCGUUUAGGAGACGAACAAAUUUAUGAGAAGAAGACUUGGGUAGAAGACUAGAAGUCUGGAAGCCAACAACUUUCGCAUUUCUUUUAUUUAUAAUCCAAGCCUUGAAUUAAAAAUGUUUUUCAUGAGGACUUGCAAAAUGAAAUUUGCUUUGGUUGGGAACGAGAAGACUUAGAAGUAGAUCUAGUCUCGAUGCUUGCUAGCUUUAACAUAUUUUAUUAAAGCCUGGAAUUAAAAAUGUUUUUCAUAAGAACUAGCUUGCACUGCAAUUUAUAAAAUCACAAAUCUUACCAAAAUGAAAUUUGCUUUGAUUUGGGAGAUGAACCAAUUUAGUCAACAAGACUUGCAGAGAAGACCAGAUUUUAUUCUCAAUGCUAACAUAACUUUUUUUUAAAAAAAAAAAAAUCCAAGUCUAGAAUUAAAAUGCUUUUUUUUUAAAUUUUUUUUUAUUGCGAUUAACUCAUACUGGAAUUAAAAGCAAACCAAAAGGUAGAGAAUAGUGAAAUAUUUAAAAUAUCAGCUAAUUUCAUUGGUUAAUGCAAAUCUUAAAAAUUAAAAUUAUUAAUUAAAUGAAGAGAAUAUGAUAAAUUCACACUUUUUCAUAUUAACAUAAUAACUGGUUUUUAUUUUACUCCAUGAAUAAUAUCUAGUUCGCUAAAUAAAAUUUGCGUUUAUUUUUAUGGAUAAUUAAAAGUUUAGGGGGAGAUUGAAGUAAAAUUUGCUUUUCUUUAACAAUUUGUGGCAUUCUCUUCUCAACUUCUCGUGUGCGGUGAAAACUGGUACGUGGGGUUAUUGGAAAUUAUGGUCUUGUAAAUUGUACGUUCCAAUCUUGUAGUUACUACCGGGGGGUCAUCCAUAUAAUUAUUCUAUUACUUCUCAUGUCCAACAUUAAAAAUUAUCCAGAAAACCAUAGUGCAGUGAAGCUGAAAAAGAAAGGAAAAUCAUUAUAAAAAAAAUAGUUACAACACAUUAAAGGAUUCUUUGCCAGAUAGAGUUCAAGAGGAUGAACAGAAAGUUAAAGUCACUACAAUAUUGUUGGGUAUAUAUGAUAGCUGAAGCCAACUGGAAUUGUUGAGCUGGCAGUGGUUAGUUCAGUGUUAGAUGGUUAGGCUGUUACGCAACAGUUUUAGAAGUUCGUUAAGAGCUUAAGAACAAGUGUAUAAAUACUCUAAGAAACCUUGUAAGGAUUUAUAAGGAUCUCACAUUAUUAGAACUUCAGCGUCUAACCUAAAACUAAACCAAUCCUAAUGCAUCAAAGACUAUGCUCUCAUGCAAUACCCAAAGUUCAUAUACGACUACAUAUGUUCAUGCAAAACUGUGAACAAAUCAUGCACUUCAAUUCAUAAGUAAAUGAGCAAAGAUCACAAACCUUGUUUUACACAGUUGUUCCGACUGCCGAAAAUCUUCUAUUCACCGGAAAUCACCUCUCUCAAGCUCAACUUUCGCUCUCAAAUACCAAGUGUUCCCUCAAGCAUAACCCUUCACCUUUUAUACUGAAGCCCUAGCAUCAGGAAGCGAAAGGGCGUAACAAUUAUGACAGCACUCAUCCAACGUGUCCACUCCUAGCAUUCAUUACAAACACAUGCUUGCACGGAAGCCUAGGCCUCAUGCUAAGCGAAGAUUUUUAUCCCAGCAAGCCAACCCCAGCAAAUCUAAUAAGUGCAUCACGAUUCGGAAACCUGUUCCGAUCGACAAAGCAUGCCGAACGGCAGGCUCACAAGGUUGAGUUCACCUCACCCGCCUAGCCGUUCUUCCUAGCAUGUCAAACGGCAGGUGCUCAGGGUCGAGUUCUCCUCACCCUCAUAGUCUUUCAUCUUUUCAUACCGAACGACAAGGGCAUAUGAUAGACUUUCCCCCAAGUACCCUUUUUCCCAACAACCCCAUUGGUUGGAGACUGGGGGGACUAUAUAAGUAUCAUCGGCAAACCACUAGGAACUUGCUAAAAUUCCUGUAGCGAGGCCCGGAUCAGAAUGUCGAAGACAUGUACGAGUACCCAACCAAGAAGUCCUUUCUCAAUCGAGAACUUGGGGGAGUCAUGUUGGUACCAUAUUUGACUAGGUCUCUCACGCCACGACACAUGGAAAUGACCUGACACCAAGCAGGGCCUAGAAGCCCAAGUUGGCCAGCCUUACGAGUGGUAGAUGCCCUGAGCACCCACUAUUGAUUCUACACUGACCGGCUCUUCACGUAGGCUCACAAUUGACAAUCGGCAUGUGUGCUCAGCACCCGUUGUCAAUUCAGGCUCCCAAAAGAUAUCUCAUAGGGAUGUGUUGUGUUCUUUACUGGUAUACUUUCUAGGAUACAUGGUAGUUCCCCAAGCUAUUCCCACAAGUCCCACAUCGAAAGUUUAUACCAAUGAAACACCAAAACUUCUAUAAAUAAGGCCUUUUGCGGGCAAAAGGUAAUAGCGACUUUACACUUAUGCCCUUACUUUGUCAUCAGCUAACUUAUAUUUUCUUCGGCUAACUUUAGUAUUGGAGGGCCUUCGGUCGGUAUCACACCAAUGUCUUAGGUCUUACCUACUGCUUUUUUCCUUUCUCUGAGAAAUGCCGACGGACAUGCUUACUGAAGGCAUAUCAGAUCACACAUCAUCCUUAAAUUUGGGCCCACUACUGAUCAUCUAGUUUUGAGCACAAACAACUGCAAUGAAGUAGAAUGUUCAAAUCACAGCGGAGAUGACCUUAUAGAAUAUUGGAUGCAAUCUAAAUAUAUUGUCUUUUCUACCAAGUUGCCCUUAUCUCCUUUUAAUUUUUGGGCCAUCGGUGAAGUUGAAGUUUUCGUUCUAAUGGCCAACGACUUGGCUGAGGUUCAGCCUCGUCCAAGUGCAACUGUAAAUUGAUUGUUCAAUUAUUCAAGUUUAUUAGCAAUUUUGUUCUGUAACUGUUGGAAUGUCAUGUGCUCUAUGUACAUAAAUCAUUCCCUGUCCAAACGCAACCGCAUAUCUCCUUCAAAAUAUCUUUCUUUUGUGGGUCGGAAAACCAAAUUGAAAUUAAUAGUAUCUACAAAUUACCUUACCGAAACGUAUUCUGUAUUUUUAUAUUGAAUUAAUUUGAAAGAAAUCCAAGUAGCUUAUCAUCUACGUGUACAUCACAUAGUUGUGCAAUCACUUGAAAGGUUCAGACGGCAAGUUGUAUAAGACUCUUUCAACGAGAAAGUCUCAAUUCCAAAUAUAUAGUUCUGUGGCCCGAAAUCACUUCCAGUCGCUUUAAGAGAGAUGAGUUGGGAGUGUAUAUUGAGUGCAUGCAUUGUAGCUAGCUGCUAAUUAUAUUCAGAGAUGCUGCUUUGCCUUGACCUGAUUCAGAUAUAUACUGUUUUUGUGUGGGAAGGAUGGAAGGAAGAGUAUCAAAAAACAAGGUUCAUCAAAUGUCAACCCUAUCUACUUAUACGCCAAAUAUUGUUCACAUGGCAAUCAUACGUCAUAGUUGAUAACUACAGUGUUUUCUUUCUUUCCAAUCUCAUUGUUUUGCGUUGAGUACAAUUUGGACACACAUAUCGUUACUGCUUAAAACGUCCACCGUCAAGACCUUAUCCAUGGAAAUUCAUUUUCCCUUAUUUCACACCUGCAAUAAUUCCACAACUAAUACUCCCAGAAAACAGGCCACAGAAAUGGGCCACGUGGCCACCUAUUCUGGACCAAACAACAUCGACAUUAUAUAUUUACCAUUUUUAUUAUGGAGAAUGCUAGCAAUCUUUUUUCUAACUUUCUUUUUUGGACUUUCUCUCUUGUACAUGUGUUACUUUCUCUACACUUAAAACAAUGUCAUUAAUGCAUUAGACAAUUUAUCUUUUUUUUCCCAAAUUGUGAAACCCCGUAUUUAUAAAAUUGUAUAGUUUGAAGAUUUGAUAUUUUGCCAUUUAAUUUAUAUAUUAUAUUAUAUUAUAUUAUAUAUGUGUGUAUUACAUAAAUAUCCUAAUACAUUAUAUAUGGAUAUGCUUAGUCAUUGUUAGUGUAGUACGUGUCAAAGAAAAACAAAUGCUUAGCAAGCAUAGCUAUAUACUAGCCUUGUCAAUUCACCAAGAAAAGUUGUAUAGGAUUGGAGGAAUUGGGAACUACCCCAUCUACAAAGCUAGACCACAUAAAAAUAACUUGGAUGGUAAGUGUUUGUAAACCGCCAAACACCAUCCAAUAGGAAGGGAGUCACUGCCGAUAUAUUCCUUAUAUAUAUAUAUAUAUAUAUAUAUAGGACGUGAGUUGCAUAGCAAACGGAAAAAAAUACAACAAGAGAGAAAUAUUGGUAGAGAGGAGUAAGGAAAAGAGUGAGAAACUGAGUUUGUGAAUUCGAUGGAAAAUUGGGAAACACUUUACAUUUCUAGCAAAAGCUUUGGUAUCAAGGUAGGGGUUUCUUGGUGACCUUUUACAAAGAUUGAUCUAAUUAAAUUUCGUGAGCUCUAUAUUAUGUGUGAUAUUGUAUAAUGUUCUUGAUAUACUAUAUUUACGUAUUGUGAACUAUUUGAAUAAUGUUAGCAUAAUUAUAUCAUGUCAUGGUAAUUGGUCGGAGUUGUUGGGUGGAGAAGAUAAUUGUGGAAAAGAGGGUAAUAAGAAGGUUCUUUUGUGUAGUUGAGUCUGACCAUUGUAGGGACCAAGUUCAGGCAAGCUCGUGUGCACAGUAGAUUAGGAAAUCGGCGGUAUAAUUGUCGAUUGGGUGAUUUGGGCUUGGAGAUCAAUGGUAUAGACAAGAUGACUAGCAAAAGGGGAAUUAUGAGAUAACUGUGAUGGGUGUUAGUUUAUAUAAUGGGGCAUUCGGAAUCACAGUGGUAAAAUGCAUGGUAUGGGACAUGCAAAUUUGCUUGCCCUACUAUAUAGAUUAACGGGUUGGGUAGAAUUGAAGAGCAUUCAUGCAUCAUUAUUAUUAUUAACAUUAAUGUGAUAUUUGGCUGUGUGAUUGCAUGUCACUUAAUUUAGUUAUAUCAAUCUACUAUGGUAAGGUCUCAUAUCCCUACUAAGCUGUGGUUGCUCAUCCCUCACCCUGUUUACUUUUUCAGAUGAAUUAGUGGGCAAGACAAGGAGUAAAUCGGUUGGGGCUGAAUUAGAUGAUAGUGAUAGAGCUUUAUUUAUUUAUUGUAAAGUUGUAAGAUUUUGGAUCUAUUUUUAUAAAAGAAGUUUAUUUUAAACCAUGUUUUGGCUUUUAUCUAUUUAUUUUAUUUUAGUUUUUAUUUUCUCACGCACUGGGCGCGGGAUUUUUACGUACCUCGGUCCGGGGCGUGACACAAAUUUACCCAUAUUAAAUGCAUUAAUUUUAUAUUUUCUUCAAUUUACAACUUAAAGUUCAAUUAAAUAAACAUUUGAAAAUAAAUUUAAAUUUUUUUUUAAAUUUAAUGAACAUUCUAAUGGAUUAAAAAAGUUAAAAAAUAAAAAGAAAUAGAAAAAAAAGAAGAUGAAAAUCCAAACCCAUUACACCAUCUGUCUCUCUCUCUGACCCAAAACCCAGCCCCCUCCCUUGGCCAAAACAACAGUCCUCAUCCGUACCCAAUCAUCAUCAUCGCUUUCCAAUCCAAAACCCCACCAUCCAUUGUACCUCUCGCUCUCUCCUCCGAUUCCAUACCAAAAAACUCAUCCCCCUUCCCUCACCAAGAAAAAAGUGAACAAUUUUUUAUAUUUUAUAUUUUAAAUCAUUGACGUUAAUUUUGUGGAAUAUGUUAAUUCUCCCUUAAUGUUUUUAACAAGAUGCAAACAAAAGUUAGUUUGUUCAAUGCAUUUAAUAAGGUAAAUUUGAGAAACAAAAGAUACAUUGUCUAAUGUAUUAAUGGCAUUUUUUAAGUAUAAAAAGUGACACAUGUCAUGAGGGGAAGAGAGAAGGUUCAAAAGAGAAAGUUAGAGAGAAGGUUGCUAACAUUCCCCUUUUAUUAUAACAUGACUUUAGUCUUUAUGAGUCCCGAUCCCUUUAAAAGUAAAGUUUGAGUAAUAAAUUACUAAAAGAAAUAAAUUAUUAGGUGUUUAAUGUACAUACCCUUAAUAAAGCCUAAACAAAGGUGUUUAGGCAAAACUCUUCUCACUGCAAAAAUUCCUAGCACAUUCUCUCCCAAAAAACACUCCUAAAGCCGUUUUUACUUUGAAAAAGGAGGAAGCCAUUGUUCUUCCUCCCAUCUCCCCUCUCCCCUCUCCCCUCUCCUCUCUUCUUUCCUCAUUUUCAUAGACAAAAGGUUUUCCCUAUUUGUCUUCGUUUUGUUAUGACAGUCAAAGUGUUAUAUACUUAGUCAAGAACCAAGUGUUUCAUAGAAGGUCUAAGCAUAUUGAUAGACGAUAUUACCGGAUAAGAGAUUGGGUGAACAAUAAGGAUAUUGUAAUAGAGAAGGUUCAUACAGAUGAGAACGCUUCAGAUUGCUUGAUCAAGCCAGUCACAGCUAAGAAGUUCAGACAUUUUUGAGCUUGCUCAAUCUUGUUGCAUGCUAAAGAUUGAGGUGGAGCUCUUGGGAAUUACUAGAACGGUUUUCCAAGAGGGUUGAAAAGGAUCUAGGGGUCGAUGAUUUUCACAAGGUAUUUAAGGCUUGCCAAUGUGGAUAUUGUUGAUGUUGGCUCACCUCAAGAUAUGGAAGGAUUGAAGGAAACGGGCAGUCAAACGAGCAACAGACGUGUUGACUGGGCUCUGGCCCUCAAGUGGCAGAACUCUGACUCGAGAUGAAACAGGCGCUCGAGCGGCGCGAGUGGCGCUCUAGCAAGACACGUGAAUCCAGCGUGUAUCCCUGACUUAUCUGGACAGAUUUUCUCUUAGUUUUGAGAUGUUUUAGGUUUCCUAUUCCUUGUAUAAUAGUACUAAAAUCCCAUGAAGUAUAAAUAGGCACUUUAGCACUAGAUUUUGAUAACGUGAGAAAAUUAAGACAUCAAAUUGGGUUGAGCCAAGGGUGAAAGAAAAGAGAGUUAGGAUUUGUGAGAGAGCAAAUGGGCUUCUUCAUUGUAACCAAAGAGGUUCUUUCGUACUAGUGAAUUUCUUAGGGAUCACCAAGAGGACGUUGACACAACGGCAAACCUCUAUAAAUUCUUGUGUUCUUUGUUUGUGUUUAUUUUUCAGUUUGUGUGUGUGCUUUAUCUUUUCGUGACUUGUGUGUGAUUGUUGCGUAGUCAAUCAACAAUAUGGUCUUGAAGUGUUAUGAUUUUAAAGUGCCUAUGUCUUUGUCACUGUGUGUUUCGUACUUUUUGGAGCAGAAGGAAAAACACAAAACCACCGAACACUUUACAAUUUUGUCUGUCCUUUCCCCCUUAUUGAUAUCAUUGAAAUAAAAGUUGCAAUGAAACCACAAGGUGCCAUUAAGAAGGUCAUAUCAUUACAUUACUUGCUCCCUGUAUACUGCUCAUGAACCGUGAAGACUUUAUCCAUGUAAAGUCAUUUUCCCAUUCAUACCUGCAUUAGUUCCACAACUAACAAGUGCCAAAAAAAAGUCUCUCCUUUUAAUUCCGCAACGUGCAUUCAAUAAGAUUCAAAACGUGGCAGAAAACAGUCCACACAAACGCUUCACGUGGCCACGUACCUUGGACCAAACAGCAUGUACACAGUACAUACAUCUACCAUUCUUAUAAACUUGACUUUAAGUUGUAGAAAAUUUGAGAUUUAAAGGGGAUUUGCUCCAUCAUUUGCAUUCCAGAAUUCUAGCAAAGAUCAGAUUCAGUUUCUGCCAAAAAAAAAAAAAAGGAAGAAGAAGAAAGGUUUGCAUGGCUACCGGUGAAGUAACUGUAGUAGUGGAGAACAUAGAAGGGAACAUGGAAGGGAAAACUGAAGCAACAGACAACUCGAAAGAGAAAGUUGCAAGGUUAGUUUGUAUAUAUACGUACAACUUUAACAUGCAUGCACCAUUUUCAUUUUUCCUUUCUUAAAUAAAUAUUCUUAUAUCAAACAAUGCAAAGUCCCCACUACAGAACAUAACCUUUUCGUUCAAAAAAGAAAAAAGAAAAAAAAAGAACAGAACCUUUUGUUGUUUUGAGAACAACUAAAGUCAUUGCGUUGUAAUAAGCCAAAUAUUUAAACACAUAUGGUGGUACAUAUAAUAAAAUAAUACAUAGUAAAAUUAAAUUAAUGGACUGCUUUUUCUUGUCAAACGAGCUGAUAUGCGCAAAUUUACAUUUUUUUUUUUUUUUCGUUUUUGUUUUUCUCCAGUGAUCGUUAUUCAAAUUCAGAGGCAACAGUGAAAAACUCAGCCAUGAAAGAUGAAGAUGGAUCAAAUAAAAAAGAGGACGAAAAUCAUGAUACUCGUUGGGGGGCUUUCCUUCAAAUGUGGAAGAAGAUAUUUGUAGUAUCAUGUCUGUUUACUGUUGCACUGGAUCCAUUGUUUCUCUACGUUCCUAUGAUGAAGGAUGAUAUCAAGUGCCUGCUGGCCGACAGAAACUUGAAGACAACAGCUCUUCUUUUAAGAUCACUCACUGAUCUUUUCUAUAUAUUUGACAUUAUUUUGUAAAUUUAUACAUCUGCUAAAUAUCGUGUCAGUGUCACACAAAACGACUCGAAAAUAAGGUUUUCGUGGAAAUCAACAAUAGCUAAGAUGUGGGUAUUCUUCCGCUUCUACAAUAAUAUCUUCAUUGACAUUUUGGCUAUUCUUCCGCUUCCACAGGUUAGACCUUUAUUGGAAUUUACUGACUAGUAGCAAAAGAGGCAAAAGCCACAAUUUACCUAGCCACAGUGGGCCGACAGUGGCCAAUAUUAGUGAUCUUUGCUCGUGAUAAUUUGAUUUUAAAUGUUUGUAUUAUGUUGUCCAGGUAGCAAUUUUCAUCUUCCUUUCAAAAAUGAGGGACUUGAGAUCUUUGAGCACAAAAAGGAUGGCUAUUAUGAAUCUUUUUGUUUUGUUGCAAUAUGUGCCACGAGUUCUUCGGAUCUACUUAUCAUGUAAGGAACUUAAAAAAACUCCUAAAGAAGAGAUCAAAGAAACUGCUAUAUGAGUUAAAGGUGUCUUGAAUUUCUUUAUGUAUAUCCUGGUUAGUCAUGUAAGUAACAAUAUUUAAUCUUGAUAAAUGAUUUGGUUGGAUUUUUUUUUCCGUAAAAGGCUAGGUUCUUAACUCAAUCAACCUUGAUGAAUGGAAAAUGUACAUGGGGCAAAAUGAUCCAUAUUACAAUAGAGUAGGCAUAUACUUAAUAUUCUUGAGUUACAUUUUCACAAAACAAUAAUGUUUCAUAACAUUAAGUCCUUCUUCCAAUCCUUAUUCGUGUAUGUUCUUUUUUCCUUUUUGUUAUAACCAAAGGCAUUCAAACUCUAGUCUCUUGGGCGUAAGGGUAAAUACCUCGUACUGCUAUAGGUAGAAACUCUCAUAAUUUUCAGUCUAUGUUUAAAGGGUGAAGAUAAGUUGUUGAAAUAAGGAAACUGUCCUAAUCACGAGAAUCUAAUGUUGUGACGCAAGGAGGCGACUCCUUCCAAAUACGCCAAAUUUGACAGUAUUUGAUAAAUAUAUUUUGAUGUAUUUUUGUUUAACUUGAGUGAAGUCAAAAAUUAAAAUAUAAUUUUAUUCAUAUUUUCAUCAUCACCUCUAAGUCUAAUCUAAUUAACAAACUUGUUAUUAUUUAGGUACUUGGAGCUAUAUGGUAUUUUUUCGCUAUUCAACGAAUGACCAUUUGUUGGUGUGAUGCAUGUCGGAAAAAAAAGGGAGGUGAUACUAGUUCUUUUGGCUGUCAUGAGCAUAACACAUUUAGAAAUAUUAAAUUUUUAAAUGAUUUAUGCCCUAUAAGUCCAGCGAAUACAACGCUCUUUGAUUUUGGUAUAUAUAGUACAAUCCUUCAAUCUGGUAUACCAGGGUCAACAAAAUAUUUUCAAAAGAUCUCCAAUUGUUUUUGGUGGGGACUGCGAAAUUUGAGGUUUGUAAUUUUUUUUUUUUUUGGUGUUGUUUGUUUGAACUUUGAUGGGUAAUGAUGAAUUUGCUUACUUCCAAUCAUAUAUAUGUUUUACCAUUUCAUUUUUGCAGUUCUCUUGGUUAAAAUCUUGAGCCUAGCGUGGAUGGAUGGGAGAACCUCUUUGCUGCGUUCAUCUCUAUAAUUGGAUUGCUUUUAUUCUUAUAUCUCAUUGGAAAUUUGCAGGUUAGGCUUGAGUUUAAUUUAAAGAAAGUUGAAUGUAUCGUUUUUGAUUUGAAGGAUUCAUAAAUAACUAAUACCUAGUUAAGAAUGACUGAGCUGCUUGUUGUGGCAUGCAUAUAUAUAUAUAUAUAUAGACAUACAUGCAGUUGAUUACUGCACGAAGAGAAGACCAUAGACACAAGGUGAAAGUGAAACGAAAGAUGGAAAAGAAAGAUAAAGAGACAGUUGUGGUUAUCUGAAAAUGGCAUCCCCAAAAAGUUGAAGAAGACGGGGAUGCUGAUUUGGACUAUAUCUUCUCUAUUCUUCAAAUCCGUAUUAAAAAAUAUAUGCAGGUAAGUUCCUCUAAACCCAUGACUUUAAUUAAGUAGUAGUGGCCUUUCCAUCUACAUAUACUCCAGGCUGAAAACACCCAUCCUAAUCUCAUUUAGUAAAAAACAGUAAACAAGUACAUCUUUGAAAACUUGCAAAUUCAUAACCAAACUCAUGAAAGACCUAAAUGGACCAAAACCAUUUUAAUUGCUUACGUGACAAUAACGAGUCCCACUUUUUACUCUGAUAAGAAUUCCAGGUGGGUGAAAAAAAUUAAAAAAUUAUAUAUAUUUUAAAUUCAUUUACCACAUUUUUAUCCCACAUUUCUAUACCACAUGAUGUGGUAUGCCUAUAUCAUAUGCCAUGUCAAUUAAUUUAAUGAAGUAUAUCUCUAUAUUUAAAGCAAAAGGCAAAGAAUGGUGAAACAUUCAAAAUACUGGGAAAUGCCCUUGGUUAAUUCAAACAUUAAGAAUUGAACUUAUUAAUUAAAUGAGGAUAAUAUCAUAAAUUCACAUUUUUCUAUUUAAAAAAAUUAAAAUUAAAAACAAAAUAAGAUAAUAGGCCCUACUUUUAUGGAACAUAACUACUCAUGUUAUCUUUUCUUAAUUCUAAAAAUAAAAUAAAAAAUAAAAAAUAAAACCAAUUGGCACAUGCUCGGGCUAGUUCAUGUGCCAAGGGGCUAGUUUUAAUAAAGAAAUUUUAAUUAAUUGUGUUUUUUAAAGUGUUAAUAAAUCAUAAAAGAAAAAAAUUAAAUAAAUUUAAUUGAUGUGGUUGUCUACCUCAUUUGCCACAUAAGGUGGUAUACAAAUAUGAUAAGAGUAGCAUUAUUCAAAAAAGUUAUAAAAUAAUAAAAAACACAAUGAUCAACCAGCCCCACCUCCUCUCCCCGAUCUCCAUCCUCCGUUCCUCCCAGCCCCCAGCUCCCACCCCUUCACCGUCAACCUAACCCAUCCAUCCCCACCCGCUCCCUUUGUCUCCUACAAACCAACGACCUAACUCUCCCUCUCCUUUUUAAGAAACCAUAUGUCAAUGAAGGUGAAGACAUUCCCACCCAAACUUAUCUAAGAAACCCCAAUCAUCUUCCCAAUGGCGGGUAAUAGUUAGCUGGUGAAAGGACCCGCCCCGAAUUUUCUCAAAACUCGAGACGAACCCUUUGGAAUUCCUGACAUCACUUUGAUGCCAGACCCAAUUACUAAAGACCGAGACUUCCUGCAGGAAAUUUCGGCAGAGUCUCCCCUAUAAAUUGGACAUUUUCCAAAAUUUAUACCUGCAUGAAAACGCAUUUAAUAUUCCCAACUGGCAGCAUGCACAAUAUAAUUUCAUGCAAUUCACACAGAUGGCCUUCGGCCUUCCAAUAAUUCUUAACCAACUACCAAGCAAUUCAAAUACAAAUUAUGACUAAUAUUUAGUCUGCGGCUGCACCUAAUAACCUUAGGCUGCCUACGUACCCUCCUUGAAGGAUCAAGCCACACGUAGUUCUUCCCUAAAAAUCCAAUUCCACACUUGGGCGAUGCCUUAUUUCAUUUCUCUGUAUUUCACAUAUUCUCCCCAUACGCCGGUACAACCAACGCCACGUAUGAGGCCUGUCAACACGCCGGAUAACCUACGCCACGUGCGACCAUGCCAUACUAUCAUAAUAUCUCCUCAUACGCCGGUACAACCAACGCCAAGUAUGGGGCCUGUCCCAACGCCGGAUAACCUACGCCACGCGGGACCUCAAUAUCAUAUCACAAAUCUCCCCAUACGCCGGUACAACCAACGCCACGUAUGGGGUCUGUCGACACGCCGGAUAACCUACGCCACGUGCGACCUCAACACAAUAUCACAUAAUCUCCCCAUACGCCGGUACAACCAACGCCACGUAUGGAGCCUGUCUCAACGCCGGAUAACCUACGCCACGUGAGACCUGAACAUCAUAUUACAUAGCUCCCCAUACGCCGGUACAACCAACGCCACGUAUGGGGCCUGUCCCAACGCCGGAUAACCUACGCCACGCGGGACCUAACUUUCACUUGGCGGUACUUGUAGUGAAUCCAACAUCCGGGGCUCCGAUUCACGAUCUGUGAAUUCCUACACGAUCCUAGAAAUACGUAGAUUAACAUAUAUUAAAUUUGGGACCAUCCGACGGUCCCAACCUAUCGAACCCGGAUAACGCACAAUAUGCGAUUAUCCGUUCGAUAGUCAAACGAUGUCCGAAUUGAGAUCCGCGAAAUCCUACGCACUCGUGACAACCUAAGGAUCUCAUCGGAACACAGUGCUACUUUUCUACAGUGUCCACGCGCCGCCGCACGCUCCGGCAGCGUGUGGGUGCCCAAAGCGAUAACGCUUUGCCGGAAAAGCUCAAAACCACGGCUCCAAACUCCUACCCUAGGUAUAACACACUAUUUGGAGCCACUUUUGUUCUUGGACCUACCCCAAAAAGUGGCCGGAAAUGGCCGAUCACGGCGGCCGAAGUUCGGCCGAUUUUCAAUUUGAAAAUCGAGUUGUCUACGCUAAGAAUCGAUCUAAUCCUUUCCAACCAUCAGCUAGAGCAGCUCGAGAGGUUCAAAAUCCAUACCUGGGUCGACGGAAUUGGUGGCCGGAGGAGGGAGAUCGGCGGCUGUGAAGAUCCGGCGACGUCGGCCGCUUCUUCUCCAAAUUCCGGCGAAACCGCGGAUGCUGGAGGCGGGGGCUGGCUGGGGUAGAAAGAGGACGACGGCCAGGUCAUUUUGGUACCGAUCCCGUCGUCAUCGGUGGCCGGAGGAGAGCAUGGCCGGCCAAAACGUGACCGGCUGUCGCGCGCGAGAGAGAGGAGAGAGAGAGACCCGCGGGGGAGAGAGAGAGAGAGAGAGAGAAAAAUCUGAGUUUUAUAAAAAAUUCCAUUUCGAAAUAUUUACGAUUGUGCCACUGGGCUUCUUUUGACCAUAUCUCUCUCGUUACAACUCCGAUUCGAGCCCACUACGUGUUUAUGAACUCGUCUCAGUACGACCUUUUCAAAAAUACUAGUUACUGCCCCAAACUCUCUUCGGUUAAAAAUAUGACUAAAAUACUCUUAAAUAAUUAAUUAAUUAAAUAAGGGUUAAAUUCGGGGUCGGGGUGUUACAGCUGGUUUGUCAAAUCCUUCUCUCAACAACAAUCGGGGGACUCAAAGAAGCGCAAAGAGGCGCAGUUGCACCUCCCCUCGCCGGAUACCAUAGAAGUCAGUCAUUUUGACCCCUUGGGCGGCUGGGCAAGAAUGCCCACAACCUGUUUGUGGGAAAGCCGGAAUAAAGAGCAACAAAGCAGCAAGUGCGGUCUAUUUUUCUUUUUAAUAUGUUUUAAGAUCUCCGUGUGCAUUAUACGUGUUUAGUUUUUGUUCUAUCAAAGACCACAUCAUGCUGCUACUUUAGUUUGAGGGUAGAGCAGUCAUUAGAGCUUACUAGAAUAUGCAUUUCAUAAAAAAAAGAAGGAAUAAUUGGAAGUGAGUUUUCAUGUUUUAUUAGGACCACCAAAAAAGAAGUGGAGAGAUACUAGAGUUUGAUGGCUUAACCUAAAAAUAUUUUGAUAUAUAUAUAUAUAUAUAUACAGUCCCUUUUUAUUGAGGGAUUUCUCAAAUAAUUUCAUUUGAGGGACACCCUUUAGGGUCCUCUACGAAUUUUUUUUCAACGAUCGAAACCAUCUAUUUUUUAAGUCUAUAUUCAUAGAUAAUCCUUGAAGAAAAUUAGACAAAUCGGAAACUGUUUUGAUAUCCAAUUGUGUCCUACAAAAUCAAUGAACACAAUGCUUCAAGAAAGUACUAAAAUUUCAAUAAUUCAAUUGAGUGGUCAAAUGAUAUCGGAUUCAAGUGAUUUUUUGUAGAGAUAUCUUUGAAUGAGUAUCUACAAAAGAGAUGGUUUGGAUUAGUGAAAUACAAUACAGAGUGGGCCCUACAAUGGUAUCCCUCAAAUAAGCUAAUUUGAGGGAUCCCUCAAUGGAAGCUCUCUGUAUAUAUAUAUAUAUAUAUGAUCUUUGAAUGAGUAUCUACAAAAUAGACGGUUUGAAUUAGUGAAAUACAAUAUAAAGAGGGGCCUAAAAGGGGUGUCCCUCAAUGGAAGCUCUCUGUAUAUAUAUAUAUAUAUAUAUAUAUAUAUAACUUAACUCAAACUUCAGACUAAUGCAUAUGCAGAAAAUAAUGCAUAUAUGAAAUUAAUCAAAAUAGGAUAAUUUUGAAAAUAGCAACUUUUUAUUAUACUCACAGAGGUUGCAACUGCAAAUAAGCUUAUUUGAGGGACACCCCUGUAGGCCCCACUCCGGUUUGUAUUUCAAUAAUCCAAACCGUCUAUUUUGUAGAUACUCAUUCAAAGAUCAUCCCUACAAAAAAUCUCUUGAAUCCGAUAUCAUUUGACCACUCAAUUAAGUUAUUGAAAUUUUAGUAUUUUCUUGAAGUACCGUGUUCAUUGAUUUUGUAAGACACAAUUGGAUGUCGAAACGGUUUCCGAUUUGUCUAAUUUUUUGUUAGGAUGAUCUAUGAAUGAAGACCUAAAAAAUAGAUGGUUUGGAUCAUUGGAAAAAAAAUUGUAGGGUACCCUAAAGGGCGUCCCUCAAUAGAAGGGGACUGUAUAUAUAUAUAUAUAUAUAUAUGAAGCAAGUAUUUAGAACUUAAAUGAAGAAAACGCAUCCAAUUACAACCAUUACAUAUCAUCCUAGCUACACGGUACUAACUUUUAGAAGAUUUGCUUCAUAUUUUUCUCAAAUAUUGUAUCUAUUUAUAGGUGCCACUACUUAAAGGCAUGGACGAAGGAGUUUUGAGAGAAAUCUCUGAGAAGCUUAAGCCCGAGAAGUAUACCCGUGGAGAAAUCAUUAUAAACAAGGAUGAAACACUUGAAAUGAUGCUUUUCAUCGUGGACGGACAUGUAACCAUUGAAAAGGAAAAUUCUCAGUUGCAAUUAGGCGCACAAGAUUUUUAUGGAGAGAAACUUCCGUUAUCUGUUUUGUGGACCUCCUCUAGUGAUGCAAAACCCAUAAACGAGUCUGUUCAGGCCAUUGGACUGUUGCAAUCCAAUGGUACAAAUUCAAUUUUUCCAAUUUUUUUAAUUAAAAAAACUAAGUGUCUAUUUCCAAUCAGACAACCUUGAUUGAAUCUAAUGAAAUUUAACGGUAAAAAAAAUAUCCAAGGCCAAAAGGUUGAUAUUAGUUAAUUUAUAUCAUAUUCAACCUCGAAAAUGAUUCCUAGGUCUAUAUACCCACCCAUUUGUUCAUAAUUCGUGCCUCUUUCUUUUAUAAUCAAAUACAAUUAUAUUUUUAUAAUUUAUAACUUUCUAGUGAAAAUGUUCAUAAAACUAAUUUUUUUUAAAUGUAAACAAAAAUUAAUUCCAUACAAGUUCAUCAAAAAAUUUGAGAUUAAGAUACAAUACGAGUUUUAUUGGAGUUGAAUAUAAGUCAGUUUUUAAAAGUCUCGCCCAUUUAAAAGUAAAGUUCGAGUAAUAAAAGAAAUAAAUUAUUAACACACAAUACGAGUGCCCGUGAUAUUGAUGCAAAUUUACCCUUCUAAAUCAAUAAUUAUGGGCUAUUUUGUGCUCCAAAGUUCAUAUUCUGCUGAGCACUCAUCGCUUUAAUUUGGAUACUAAUCAGAAGGAUAAUUGCACAAAGCUGUGAAACUAAAUUAUAUUGAAUCUCGUGAAAGUCACGUACGUAUAGAUCCAUUUACAUAUAUUGAAUUAUCUAAUUUGACUUUGUCCUUCACGUGAUUCAAAUAAUGUGGUAAAAUUGUUUUUUAAAUAAUGAUGAUGAUGAUUUGCACCAACUUCCUAAAAAUGUGGAAAUUUUGUUUUUUUUUAAAAUUGCGAGUCGCCAUCUUCAUCUUCACCUUCAUUUGUGGUGACUUUGAUAGUCUAACUGAUAUGAUUUUAAAACGUCUAUGUCUUUGUCGUUGUGUUUGUCCUUCCUCCUCUGUCAACCACAAUUAUUGUUCACAGCCAGUUGCCUCUGAUUCGCUACACUUAGUGGAAGAGUAGUAGGGGACAAGGUUUAUCAAAUGUCUACUACACUAAGUCUCUCACAUAUCUUAUUUUAUAUAGCAAUUAUUGUUGAUCUAAACUCUUAGAAGCUUCAAAACGAGAGCAUCUACCAUUCUUAUAAUUAACUUGACUUCAGUUUGCUCCCAUCAUUUGCAAAUUCCACUAGCAAGAUCAGAUUCAGUUUCUGGAAAAAGAAAAAAAGACAAGAAAACAAAAAAGCUUUGAGUUUUAUAUGGCUUCCGCUCACGGUGAUUUAGAGAACGCUGAAGCAAGGUUGGUUUCUCUAUAUACGUACGAGUUUCAUAUGCAUGCCCCAAAUUCAACUUUUUUCCUUUCUUACAAAAAUAAAUGUUUUUAAUUAUAUUGUUAUUGAUCUAGAACAGUUUAACCUUUUGUUGUUUUAAGGACAUGCUAAAGUCAUUGCAUUGCUAUAACAUUAAUAAUAGUAUAAUCACAGCCAAAUCUUUAAUUAUAUCCUAUAUACGUAAUUUUAUGUUCUUUGUGUCUUGGCCAGCAGAACAGAUUAUCCAAAUUCAAACCAGACAACGGAAAAUUCUUCCACGAGAGAUGUAGAGGUGAAAAAUUCAAAAAAUGCAGCACGGUUGACUAAAAUAUUUAUAACAUCAUGUGUGCUUGGCGUUUUCCUGGAUCCUUUGUUCCUCUACAUUCCUCUCCUCAACCACGAUUUGAAGUGUCUGAGGUUGGACAACACCAUAAAGAUUAUCGCUCUCGUCUCGCGAUUGUUCACUGAUCUAUUUUAUGUAGGCAGAAUAAUUUUGCAAGUUUGUAGAUUUGAAAAUUGUUCGCCUUUCAUGAAUCGAAUUCUUCCCGAAAGUUGCUCCUCCAAGUUAAUAACAUCAUUCAUCAAAUGCUUUCGUGAGUUAUUACCUGAAGUAACUGAAGUUCAUGAGAAGGAAUAUCUAAUACCAAGUAUAACAAAGGAGAUACUGGAGUCGUCCAUCAUAGUUGACAUUUUAGCUAUUCUUCCUCUUCCACAGGUAUGAAGAAAAGCUCUUUGAUAUCUAGACUCUAGAUCCAGUAGUUAAUUGCUUUUCCAAUCUCACUGUUUUUAUUUUUUAUUUUGGUCAUAAAUCUCACUGUUUUUGUUUGCAUGCAAUGAUAUAUAUAUAUAUAUAUAUAUAUAUAUAUAUAUAUAUAUGAGUUGGUCCUUUAUGAGUUGUUCUCUACUACGGACGUCCAUAUUUUUUCUAACAUCGUCCUACAUGUUCUUUUGCCUUCCUUGUGAUAAUAAAUUAACCUUAUCACUUUUCUUGGUAAAGGUAGAAUAGAAACCAUGCUCUACCAAUACUUAAAAGUCAAACAUCACCUCUAGAUUGGCUUUUCCUUCAUUGGUGGCCUGUAGAGAGAAUUUGGAGGCUGUUAUGUGUGCUUUAGUGCCUUUUUUUUAAUGAUAAAGAAGAGAGAUGUAGAAAACAAAAUGGAAAUGGUUUUCUUCCCAUUGAAUGAAUGAAUUCAUUCUGAUCAUGUGAAAAAAACAAAACGAGUCUGGACAUUAAGCAAUUCCGGACGUCCGCACUAGAGAAUAGUCCUCUAUAUAUAUAUAUAUAUAUAUAUAUAUAUAUAUAUAUAGAGCUUUUAUUAAGGGAUUCCUCAAAUUAGCUUAUUCGAUGGACACCUUUGUAGGGUCUACUUCGCAUCAUAUUUCACUAAUCCAAACCGUCUAUAUUUUAGAUAAUCAUUCAAAGAUUAUCUUUACAAAAAUCACAAGAAUAUGAUAUCGUUUGAGCACUCAAUUGUGUUAUUGAAAUCUUAGUACUUUCUUGAAGCACCAUGUUCAUUGAUUUUGUAGGAUACAAUUGGAUGUCGAAAUGUUUUCCGAAUUGUCUAAUUUUUUGCAAGGAUGAUCUAUGAAUUUAGACUUACAAAAUAGAUGGUUUGGAUCGUUAGAACAAAAUUCAUAGUAUACCCUAAAUGGUGUGGGAUCCCUCAAUAGAAAGGGAUUAUAUAUAUAUAUAUAUUAGGGAUCCCUCAAAUAAGUUUAUUUAAGAGACACCCUUGUAGGACCCACUUUGUAUUGUAUUUCACUAAUUCAAAUCGUCUGUUUUGUAGAUAUUCAUUCAAAGAUCAUCUUUACAAAAAAAAUCACUUGAAUCCAAUAUCAUUUGACCAUCAUAUUGAAAAUUUUGUACUUUUUUGAAGCACCGUAUUCAUUAAUUUGUAAGACACAAUUAGAUGUCGAAACGAUUUUCGAUUUGUCUAAUUUUUUGCAAAGAUGAUCUAUGGAUGUAGACUUAAAAAAAUAGAUAGUUUGGAUCGUUGAAAAAAAUUCCGUAUGGGACCCCAAAUGUAAAUGGUGUCACCAUAAAGAUUCAAGGACUUUAUAUACUGUUAUAAUGAUCUGAAGACCAAGUGAUCAAUACCUCGGUGGCUAUAAGUAUCAUUUCAACCAUAUUAGAUAACAUUUUGACCAGUAGCGGGGCCAGUAUUUCACAUUAGAGGGGGUCUUUCAUAAAAUUUGUCUUCUCUUCAUAAUUAUCAUGAAUUUCAUAUUUUAAAUUGGUUAAAUAUUAAUUUUAUCAUCUAAACUAUUAAAGACUUAAAAAUUAAUCAUUUAUAUUCCAACAGAUAAAAAGAAAUGGGGAAGAAAAAAGAGUUCAUAAAGUGCAAUAUUAAGGUACCCAACUCAUACGAAAAAAAAAUUAGGAAAAUAAAAAAUUAACAAAAGUUUAAAUAAAAUGUUAAAACUUUAGGAGUUUUUUGUGCAAAUAUCAUAAACUAGCCUCGAAGAUUUAAGGGAGAUAAAGAAAUUUUACAGUUUAUUUGUAUACAAAAAGAACAUAAUAUUUUAUUUUAUUUUAGAGUAAAUAUCCUAAAAUCAAUCUAAUAUAUUAUAAUAUUGUAUAUCAUAUAUAAUAUACAAAUAAAAUAGGUAAAAAUGGAGUGGGGACAUGGGACCACACUGGUCCCAUGCUGGCUUUGCCCCUGAUUCUGACUAUGUUUGAUAGAAUGGAAUAAGAAUACAUUUAUCAUGAAGACUGGGCAUCGUCUCUGCUAUUUCGAUUUCAACCAAAUAAAACUAGGGUUAAUUUCAAUUAGAAUGCUAAACUUUCACCCUUAAGGCACGUUUGUCUAUGCACUCUCAAAUUUAACAAUUAUGAAUUCUAAUCUUAUUAAUUUUUUGCAAUCUAGUUUAUGCAUUAACUUCACUAGUGAAAUUUCUGUUAAUUGCCCACGUGGCAGACUUGUGACCUACUUAUUCACUUCUUUUAAUGCUAGUUGAAGGGUAUUUUAGACAAUUGAUGUCAAAUGGGUUUGGGUGGGAAUUUUUUUAUUUGUGUCAAAUGGUUUGGGAGAGGAGACACCAAUUGCCUGAAAAUACCCUUCAAAUGACUUCAAAAGAAGUGAAUAGGUGGGACCUACCAUUGCCACGUAGGUAAUUAACAAAAUUUUUGACAUGUAAAGUUAAUGUUGGAACCAUAUUUCAAAAAAUUAAUAAGAUUAGGGUACAUAACUAUUAAAAUUGCAAGUGCAAACAUGCCUUAAGGGUGAAAGUUCAUGGUACUAAAUUGCCCAUUCAUAUUUGAGUGAUUUUGUAAAACUGAGAAAAGUAUUGGAAAAUUGAUUUGGUUGACGAAAGGCAGACAUCCUGGCGAAGAAAAGGGUACUGUAUUGUAGUCGGUUCUUUCAAUUAGGACCUUUUUUCCCUCUAAAAAAUCAUUAAGACUUUUGAACUAAUUAAUAAAUCCAUAUCAUUAAGCGAUGAUAUGACAUUGCCAUGUCACUUGGGAUCCAAUUGUCAAGUCACUUGAUACACAAAUUUAGUAUUUCUAGUAUUACCCUAAUUUAAUAUUUUGUCUCACGAUAUGUUGUUAAUAGUCGAUAUUAACAUUGCAACGUGUCCAGGUGGCAAUUCUCAUUUUCUUCCAAAGAUGAGGGUCUCAGAUCUUUCGGGGAGCGUAUUAUGAAUUUUCUUGUUAUGGUGCAAUAUGUACCACGAGUUCUUCGCAUCUACCUAUCAUGUAAGAAAGCUAGAAAACCUUUCAAAGGACAUAUCCCAUUAUGGCUUAAAGGUUUACUCAAUCUUUUUCUCUACGUUCUCGCUAGUCAUGUAAGUUUCACUUUAUCAUAAUUUAUUUAAUUUUAAAAAGUUCGCUUUCUUUAAAUAAAGGAUCAUAUUUUUCUCAAAAGUUCAAUCUAACAAGUUUGUUGUUUCUUUAGGUGCUUGGAGCGUUUUGGUACUUUUUUGCUGCUCAACAAAUGAUAAGUUGUUGGGAACAUGCAUGUCAAUAUGGAAAUGGAUGUGGCUCUACUACAUUUAAUUGUCACGAUCACCAAACGAUGAAAAAUAUUACAGUUCUAAAUAAUUCCUGCCCUAUAGAUCCACCAGAUACAACUCUCUUUGAUUUUGGUAUAUACCUAAAUGUCCUUCAGUCAGGUGCAUUGUGGUCAACAGACUAUCCCCUGAAGUUUUUGAACAGUUUUUGUUGGGGCCUGCGAAAUUUGAGGUUUGUACAUGUGAAACCAACGUAUACAUUGAUGCUGUUUUUUAAACUAGAGAGAUGGUUUUAGAUUUCCUUACAUUGAGCAAUUGAGAUUUGUAUAUAUUAUGUAUUCUGAUCCAUUUCAUGUUUGCAGUUCUCUUGCUUCAAAUCUCCAACCGAGUUUCUAUACAUGGGAAAUCGCCUUUGUAGCUUUUAUAUCUAUAAUCGGCUUGAUACUGUUUGUAUAUCUCAUUGGAAAUUUGCAGGUUGGUGCGGUGUAUAUAAAAAGUUCUCCUUAAGCUUAAAGCUCCUAAUUUGAUUUUUUUUUUUCCCUCAUUUAAUGAACUGAACCUUGUUGUUGUGAAGUAGACCUAUGUGCUUAUAGAUACUGAAAGGUUAGAGUCGCACAGACGCGAGAAUAAACUUAAACGGAAGAUUAAAGAAAAUGACCGAAAGGUAGAAUCAUGGUUAUCCGGCCAUGGCAUCCCCCUUAGCGAAAAGCAGAAGAUCAUGGAAGAGAUACAAAGAGAACUUGUUGAAAACUCGGAUUUUGAUGUGGUUAGGGAAAUCCUCUCUAUUCUUCCCCGCGAAUAUAUCAAAAGUUGCAGCCCAUUGAGUAGGCUGAGGAAGGUAGGUUCAUCGAAAACGCAUCGUAUUUAAAUUUUCUCCACCAUUAUUCGUAUCCAAUGAUGAUAUAUAUAUUAUAUUUUUAAUUGCUGAUUAUUUUUCUCAAAUAUUGUAUCUAUUUCUAGGUGCCACUACUUAAAGACAUGGACGAAGGAGUUUUGGUAGAAAUAUCUGAGAAGCUUCAUCCCAAGAAGUAUACUCCUGGACAAAUCAUUAUAAACAAGGAUGAAACACUUCAAAUGAUGCUUUUCAUCGUGGACGGAUGUGUAACCAUUGAUAAGAUAGAUUAUUCUCAGUUGGAACAUCUACGCCCAGGAGAUUUUUAUGGAGAGGAACUUCUAGUUUCCCCAUUGUGGACCUCGUCUGGUGAUGCAAAACCCAUAAACCAGUCUGUUCAAGCAAUUGAUGAUGUUCAAGCCCUUGUUCUCUCUGCCACAGACAUGGCGACCUUGAGCUUUAGUUCCAGGCGGCAUAUCAACGAGUUGCGCAUGGUGGUAACUAUUCUUCAGAAAGUAAGCUCCUCUCUAUUUAGAAGAUAUAUAAAAGAUGAAUAAUUGGAUUCUCACCUUCCAUCCUUGCUAGCUACUAACAUACAAUGACGUUACUUAUUUGUUUUAUAUAAUGUUCUCUUUAUGUUUGAGAAAUUAAUAAUGUGUCAAAUCCUAGGUGCCAAAACUUCAAACUAUGGAUAAACAAGUAUUGAAAGCAAUGUCUCAUCAUCUUUCUCUGGUUAGCUACAAACGCGAUGACUAUAUUGUUCGAGAGAACCAACCAGUUAGGAGGAUGUUCUUUGUCACGAGAGGAGAGGUAACAAAAAAUGAGAACCCUCUCGAAGAAAAUUUUAUUGGAGAAGAACUUCUUGAGUGGGUACUGGAUAAGUCUUUUCCUACCAUAGUACCCCUGUCGACCUGCACUGUUAGAGUAGUCUCAAAUGAUGCCGAAGUCCUCAUUUUGAAGGCCAGGAUGUUGAAGAGUGUAGUCUCUAAGUUCAUGAAGCAUUUCAGCAAUUUCGCCUCUCCCUCAGAUAUCCGGUUGACUUGGCUAAAGAAAGUAAGUUGCUCCAUCUGCAGUACUAACUUUUAACCAAUUUGCUUUAUAAUUUUUCUUGACUGACAAUGUCACAUCUAUCUAAUUUUAGGUGGAAAUCUUUCAACAAAUGGAUGAACAAGUGUUGGAAGCAAUAUCCAAGUGCCUUAAGCACAUGAACUUCAAUGUUCCCAAGCGCCAUAUUCUUCAAGAGAAAAAACCACUUAAAAUGAUGUUCUUCGUCAUCCGAGGAGUUGUAUUAAUUGAAAGCGAUAGUGCUAUGGAAAUAGGAAGUUUCUAUGGAGAAGAACUUGUACAUUGGGUUACAACUUGGGUACACAAGUCCUUUCCUGCCAAACUACCUUUAUCACCUGGUUCUGCGCUAUGUAGUGUGCGUGGUGGUCCUGUCGAAAUACUUGCUCUCAAAGCCGACGACUUGAAGAGUGUAGUCUCUGAAUUCAGGUCGAAAUUCAGCAAGGAAACCACCCUGCCUACAGAUUCUGAUCAACCUCGAGAACUGACCAUCCUAAAGAAUGUAAGUUCCUCUGGAUGAAGAGAACCUGACCUAUAUAUAUAUAUAUAUAUAUAUAUAUAUAUAUUAUAUCCUAUAUAUUUUAAUCAUUAUUCUAAUUUCUCCUUUGCCUUAAAUAAAUAUGGUCUCCAAUAAUAUCCUAGGUGGAAAUCCUUAAGACUAUGAAUGAGGAAGUGUUGAAAGAAGUAUGCAAGCAUCUUAUCAAAAAAACGUAUAAAGAUGAGUACAUUAUUAUGAAGGAUAAACAAAUGGAAAUGAUGUUCUUCAUCGUCAGCGGAGUUGUGUCAGUAACAAACGAGAACUCAAAACAUUACCUUAGAGAAGGAGAACGUCCAAAUCACAGUGGAGAUGAGCUUAUACAACGUUGGGUGCGAUCUAAAUCUGCUGGCGUUUCUGCCGAAUUGCCCACCUCUCCUUCUAGCUUUUGGGCCAUCGGUGAAGUUGAAGUUCUGAUUCUUAAGGACGAAGACUUGGCAAGUGUUCAGCUUGGUGAUCGAAUUGGUUAGUAUUAUCAUGUAUGUGCAACUAAUUAAUUAAUUAAUUUUGUCGUGAGUUGUGCAUAUAAUAAAGGCAUGUGUGUAGUAAUAAGAUGUUAUCUUCCCACCGCGGCUACAUGCCUGCUUAUAUACAUACGUACUUUCGUUGUCUGAUUGCUAGUAUUUGAUGAUCUUGGCAGGCUCUUGAAGAAAUGGCAAGGAAGAGUGAUGGUACGAUUACUUGUCCAAGGACAGGUUUGGUUUGCAAUUAAAUAAAUCUGGUGAAGGCAUGUGUGCGUGUAUUUAUAUAUGUGUGUGUAUUUAUGUAUGCAGCCCCGCCUUAGUUGUGACCUUUGUUGGAAGAGGUGUUGUGGGGUAAGUACUCUUUUUUUUAUACCAAAUUUUCUUCUUCUGGGGAUUGUUUAUUAGAAAAGAAUUAUUAUUUUUUAUUUUUGGUCUAAAAUCAUAUCAUUAAAAGGAGCCCUGGAAAAGGAAAAAAAGCUGGCAUCAAAUUAUGAAAAAAAAUUAUUUUUUUGAGAGGCUAACUUCAACAUUUUUUUUGUUUAAUUAUCCAAGGCUUAGGCUUGAAAUCAAUAUGUUUUUCAUGAACCUUGUCAAAAUCGAAAUUCUCAUUACAUCACUAGCUAGCUAGCAACAAGACAAUGAAUUAUAUGUCGGCCAUCAUGAUACUAUACGAGUUCGGCAUUAAUUUCGAUUUGAUUUUGCAUCCCACUAGAACUAUAGUAGAACCAAACAAUUCAUCAUGUCCACGUCUGACAUGAAGAAGUUAAGCGUUUGAAGAUGACCCAAGAAAGUGGUCUCGGUCUCUUUGGGAGAUGGAGAUGGAAAGAAAUUCAACUUAACCAGUCCCUUAGCAGCUGAAUAAUCCCAUGCAAUAACCUCGAGCUUAAUGGCUACUUCUCUCAUGGAGGGCCUUUCAUCCUGCAACCCUAAACAGCUUUUUGUGAGAUCAACCACUUCUUGAUUAUUUUACCAUCAAGAAUUUAAUCCAAGCGACCCUCUUCCACUGAACGCGCAAAUAUAUAUAGUCCAUGGUCAAGCGUUUGGGAGACGAACAAAUUUAUGAGAAGAAGAUUUCGGUAGAAGACUAGAAGUCUGGAAGUCAACAACUUUCGCAUUUCUUUUAUUUAUAAUCCAAGUCUUGAAUUAAAAAUGUUUUUCAUGAGGACUUGCAAAAUGAAAUUUGCUUUGGUUGGGGAGGAGAAGGAGAAGAGAAGUAGAUCUAGUCUCGAUGCUUGCUAGCUUUAACAUAUUUUAUUAAAGCCAGGAAUUAAAAAUGUUUUUCAUAAGAACUAGCUAGCACUGCAAUUUAUAAAAUCACACAUCUUGCCAAAAUGAAAUUUGCUUUGAUUUGGGAGACGAACCAAUUUACUCAACAAGACUCGGGGAGAAGACCAGAUUUUAUUCUCAAUGCUAUAACAUAACAUUUUUUUCAAAUCCAAGUCUAGAAUUAAAAUGUUUUUUUUUUAUUGCAACUAGCUAGCACUGGAAUUAAAAGCAAACCACCUACCAAAAUGAAAUUUAAUUUAAUUUUUUUAUAUUAAGAGAGGCAGUUUGAACUUAAUAUUUUUUUUCAAUAUUUGAAGGAACUUAGUGAUCACUAACUGUUAGAUCUAAUCCAAUGGUGAUUAAGGAUCGUCACAUCUAUUUAUGAAAUAAUAAUAAUUUUAUACUAAAAACAUUGGUUAAAAGUUCAAUUAUACGGAAAAAUAAUUAAGGAUUCUCCUUCUUUAAUCGUAUUCAAUCUCUAGAAACGCCUUCCUUCGCCUCCCUUCUUUCUUUUUUGGGGUAGGGUUUUCUCUCUUAUUAAAACAGUUAUUCUUGUGUUAUUCUGAAAAAUUAUCCAGAAAACCGUAGUGUAGUGAAGUUGAAAAAGAAAGGAAAAUCAUUAUAAAAAAAUAGUUACAACACAUUAAAGGAUUCUUUGCCAGAUAGAGUUCAAGAAGAAGAACAGAUUCUCAAAGGAAAUACGAAAAGCAAAACUUGAACUUGAGGAGGGAGAGAAAGAGGGUUCAGCCGUGCCCAACGAUAAAACCAAUUGAGUUCAGAUUCAUAUUAACUCGUUGAUGGACGUGACUAAAAAGGAGAGGAAACAAGGAAGUUGAAAACCCCUAGUCAUUAUGCUGUGAGUUGGGUCAGCUUUAAUUUAUUUUUAGUAUAAUUGAACCCAGGCCAGUGUUUUUUCAUGUAAAAUUAUUUUUUCUUAAAUUGAGGCCUGAAUCAUUAUGUACCGUUGGAUUAUAUCUAAUGCCACGUGACCACUAAGUUCCCUGCACCUUGAUGAACGAAACUAUAUUGAAAGAAAUUUCACAUUCUAACCACAUGACAGACAUUGACAACAGUAAAGUGUUAUGCAGCAUAAAAAAAAUAAAGCAAUAAAGCUAAAGUGUUCUGACAUGGUUUUGUUUCACGAGGUACUCACUCCAGUUGAAACAAAAUACAUCGUUAGGAACAAGCCAAAUUAGCAACAAAAUGCCUCUCGCGCUAAUCGAAGUAGUUGCAAAAUUAACUAUUGGUUGGAAAGACGAAGGAAAUGGUUACAAAAAGACUUGGGUUGGGGACAAGAUAAGACUACAAGUCUAGAUCUAAUGUGAAUGCUAAAGUUAAAAAUGUUUGUUUAUGACAACUAGUAGUUACUAUUGCAAUUAGUUGAAACGACGUGCCAAAAUGUUGAUAACUAAGAUAAAAAAAACUUAUCACAUGAAAUUCAAAAUCAAUAUAAAUUUUAUUUAUAAAAUUAUAAACUUACCUGAUGAAAUUCAUAAUAAGAUUCAUAGCCAAUAUAUUGCAAAUCUGUAUAUGAACAAUGUGUUGUACCAUAACCAUACUUUCAGGUCAAAUUAGACCAGUUUCCAGAUUUGGCUUCAAAGGUUCAUGUGCAAAUAUUUUUAACUUGGGUGUUUUCACGUGGUUAUUAUUUAGAGUUUACCUUUCGUUUCGAUGAAGAAAUUGAAAAUUACGUACAAUUUUAAAAUGAUGGAAUUUAGAUUUCCGUUGUUUAAAUUUCUGACAAUUAAUAAUUUUAGUGUUUAAAUUUAUAUAUGUCAAAUUUUAUAAAUGACAAACAAUUAUAGGGACAAUAUAAAUGAUCAAAUACACAUCUUUUGACGGAAAUCUCGACUUCCAAUCCAAACAAAUUUUUGUACAGCCAUCUUAACGAUAGAAUCGUAUUAUAACAAAUUUUCAAUGUCUAAUUACUUUAUUAUUAAAAUUUAAAACAUAAGGAUAAAUAUGUACAACUUCAAGAUACCAACCUAAAUUAAUCCUAACGAUAAUAUUGAUAGCCUCGAGCAAUAAUUAAUUCUACAACUAAUACAAUUGCUCACUGGCAAUUUUUGUUGUUGUUGUUGUUGUUGUUGUCAAAAUAGCUCACUCUCUUGCUGCCAAAAAAAAAAAAAUAGUCUCUCCUUUAGCGCCCGUGGAACCCAGGUGCAUUCAAGAAGAUUCAAAACGUGGCUGAAGACAGCCCCGACAGCAUCUACCAUUCUACUAUACCUUUCACUAUUUUUUCUAAAUAUUUUCAUUGGUCUUAUUAUAAAUUUAUAACUUGACUUCAGUUGUAGAGAAUUUAAGAUUUAAAGGGGAUUUGCUCCAUCAUUGCAAAUUCCAGACAACUGAAGCAACUGUAGAGAAGAUGGAAGAGAAAGCUGAAGCAACUGUAGUUGCAGACAACUGGAAAGAGAAAGCUGCAAGGUUAGUUUCUAUAUAUACGUAUGCAUGCAAAUUUCACAUUCUUGUGAACUGUGAAGAAAGUGGUUGAAGUACGUAUUAAACUUUUUCUUCUGUCUCUCUUAAAUCUGGAUAAGAAUUUUGUUACUUGGGUUCCUUUCCUUAAAUGUUCUGCUCAAUCCGACAGGCGGUGGAAUUUUCUUUGUGUCCUGCCCAGCAGUAGCUAUGAUCCAAAUUUAAAUGCAGCAAGGUUGAACAACAUAUUUAUAUCAUCAUGUGUGCUUGGCGUUUUACUGGAUCCUUUGUUCCUCUACAUUCCCAUGCUCAACCAAGAUAUCAAGUGUAUGAAGUUGGACAACACCUUAAUGAUUGCAGCUCUUGUCUCACGAUCGUUCACUGAUCUAUUCUAUAUAGGCAGAAUUAUUUUUCAAGUUUGUAGAAUUAUUUUGCAAGUUUGUAGAUUUAAAAACUGCCCAGCUUUUAUGAAUCUAUUUCUUCCGGAAAGUUCCUCCUCCGAGUUAAAUCAAUUAAGGAAUGAAUACUUGCCAAAGUCAAGUAUAGCUAAGAAGAUAUGGCAGUCGUCUAUCAUAGUUGACAUUUUAGCUAUUCUUCCUCUUCCACAGGUAUGAACAAAGGCCCUUGCUUCGAUCUGGCCAGUACUCUAGAUCGAGUUAAUUGCUUUCCAAGCUCACUGUUUCUGUUUUUUUUUUCCUUCUUUUUUUCUUUUUGUUUGGUAAUUCACUGUUUUUUGUUUGCACGCAAUGCUAUUUCAAUAUAUAAGAGAUUUUGCUCCAAAUAGUCGAUAUUAACUUUGCUAUGUUUCCAGGUGGUAAUUCUCUUUUUCUUUCUGAAAAUGAAGGGAGGAUCUUUUGGGAAGCAUAUUAUGAACAUUCUGAUUAUGGUGCAAUAUGUACCGCGAGUUCUUCGCAUCUAUCUAUCAUGCAAAAAAGCUAAAAAACCAUUCAAAGGACAUAUGGCAUUAUGGGUUAAAGGUUUACUCAAUUUUUUUCUUUACAUUCUGGCUAGUCAUGUAAGUUUCACUUUUAUCAUAAUUUAUUUUAAUUUCAAAACGUUACUUUACUUUACAUAAGGAAAAUACUUGUCUCUUUUUCAUGCAAGAACUUCUACUUUCUUGCCAAUCAUAAUCUGACAUAUGCAAAUAAAAUAUAUAUUUUUUAUUUUUUUAUAAAUUAUUUUUGCAUAUAUGUCAAAUUAUGUUUGAUAGUAAUGUCUCAUGUUGGGAAGGAGACAAACUGUGUUUGAAAUUUUAUUUUCAUAAAAACUUAUUAGCAUCAUAUAAAAUUUUCACAAAAGUUCAUUCUAACUAGCUUGUUGGUUUCUUUAGGUACUUGGAGCUUUUUGGUACUUUUUUGCCGUGCAGCGACUAAUAAGUUGUUGGGAACAUGCAUGCCGAUAUGAAAAUGGAUGUGGCAGUAGUACUUUUGACUGUCAUGAUCACCAUACGUUGAGAAAUAUUACUGUGCUAAAUGAUUUAUGCCCUAUAAAUCCACAAAAUUCAACUCUCUUUGAUUUUGGCAUAUAUCUAAAUAUCCUUCAGUCAGGUGUUUUGUGGUCAACAAACUAUCCCCUGAAGUAUUUGAACAGUUUUUGUUGGGGCCUGCGAAAUUUGAGGUUUGUACAUGUGAGACCCUUUGAUCUUACAGAUUGGGUUAUAAUUACAAAUAAAUAAACAUCUAAAUUUGCAAUCCGGAGGAUUUUGUUUUUGUUUUUUUUAUAAAAAAAUUAUAAUAAUCAACUAGCCUUUGAAGUGUUGGUAUCUUUGUCGAAAGAAGUACUCUUUGCAUGGUAUUUUGAUUAAUUACCCAAAGAAAGUUAUUAAUAAGUACAUAAUCAUAAUGUGUUCCAUGUAAAGAUGAAUACAAUUAACUUUUUUCUUUCUUUCUAGGAUGGCUGUAAUUUAUAUGCCCUACAUGGACAAAAUGCUGGGUCUGGAACUAGAGAAAUGGUCUUAGAUUUCCGUACAUUGAACACAUUAUAGUCAUUUUAUAAUGAGGGCAAAUUGGUUAGCCGUUAGAUUAAAUUGGUUAGUCAUUUUAUAACUUUUGAUUUGUAUAUCUUAUGUAUUGUGAUCCAUUUCAUUUUUGCAGUUCUCUUGCUUCAAAUCUCCAGCCGAGUUUCAAUACAUGGGAAAUCCUCUUUGUGGCUUUUAUAUCUAUAAUCGGCUUGCUACUAUUUGUAUAUCUCAUUGGAAAUUUACAGGUUGGUGCACUGAAUAUCUUUAUAUAAAAAGUUAUCCUUAAGCUUUCAGCGAUCCUGAUAUAUGUUUAUUUAUUUUUCUCAUUUGAAUACCCAUCUAUAUAUAUAUAUAUAUAUAUAUUUAUUUAUUUAUGUUUUUUUUUCCCGGUCAAUGUGUGUGUCUAUAUAUAUAAAUUAGAAUCAAUGAACUGAAACUCUUGUUGUGAAAUAGACCUAUGUGCAGUUAGAUACUGAAAGGUUAGAGUCGCACAGACGCAAGAUGAAAAUUGAAAUGAAGAUGAAAGUAAAAGGCCAAGAAGUAGAAUCAUGGUUAUCUAAAAAUGGCAUCCCCCUGCAUAAUAUGCGGGUGAUCAUGGAAAAGGUACGACAAGAACUUGAAGAAAACUGGGAUAUUGAUGUGGUUCAGGAAAUCCUCUCUGUUCUUACCCCCAAAUAUAUCAAAAGUUGCACCCCGUUCAGAAGGCUGCAGAAGGUAGGUCAGAAGCUAGUUUAUACAAUAUAUAUAUAUACCUACACAUUUGUUUUUAACCAUCCGAACCAUCUAUAUUUUAAGCCUACAUUUAUAGAUCAUCAUUAUAUUUCCAGUAUGUAUUAAUGGUUUUUUUAUUUAUAAUAUAUUUUUGUUAUUUCCAAUAUGUACUAAUGUUAAAAAUGUAUGUUUAAUGUGUGUCCCCGAUCCUAUAUAUAUAUAUAUAUAUAUUAGAUUUUUAAUUGCUGAUUAUUUUUCUAAAAUAUUAUAUAUAUUUCUAGGUGCCACUACUUAAAGACAUGGACGAAGGAGUUUUGAGAGAAAUCUCUGAGAAGCUUAAGCCCAAGAAGUAUACUCCUGAACAAAUCAUUAUUAAGAAGGAUCAAACACUUGAAAUGAUGCUUUUCAUCGUGGACGGACGUGUAACCAUUGAAAAGGAAAAUUCUCAGUUGCAAUUAGGCGCAGGAGAUCUUUAUGGAGAGGAACUUCUAGUUUCGCCAUUGUGGACCUCCUCUGGUGAUGCAAAACCCAUAAACGAGUCUGUUCGGGCCAUUGAUGAUGUUCAAG
This 33245-nucleotide long non-coding RNA is filed under the name Prunus persica (peach). Its description in RNAcentral is "long non-coding RNA (PPER_LNC002796)". The record is from RNAcentral. Lineage: Eukaryota; Viridiplantae; Streptophyta; Magnoliopsida; Rosales; Rosaceae.